RNAcentral lists this transfer RNA (73 nucleotides) under Canis lupus familiaris (dog). It matches the Rfam family "tRNA". Rfam says of the family: Transfer RNA (tRNA) molecules are approximately 80 nucleotides in length. Their secondary structure includes four short double-helical elements and three loops (D, anti-codon, and T loops). Further hydrogen bonds mediate the characteristic L-shaped molecular structure. tRNAs have two regions of fundamental functional importance: the anti-codon, which is responsible for specific mRNA codon recognition, and the 3' end, to which the tRNAs corresponding amino acid is attached (by aminoacyl-tRNA synthetases). tRNAs cope with the degeneracy of the genetic code in two manners: having more than one tRNA (with a specific anti-codon) for a particular amino acid; and 'wobble' base-pairing, i.e. permitting non-standard base-pairing at the 3rd anti-codon position. The record is from Rfam by way of RNAcentral. RNAcentral also lists the same sequence under 2 other names. Lineage: Eukaryota; Metazoa; Chordata; Mammalia; Carnivora; Canidae.
GCCUGGCUGGCUCAGCAGGUAGAGUAUGUGAUUCUUGAUCUUGAGGUCAUGAGUUCAAGCCCCAUGUUGAGCA